RNAcentral lists this ribosomal RNA (253 nucleotides) under uncultured bacterium. Its description in RNAcentral is "partial 16S ribosomal RNA". It matches the Rfam family "Bacterial small subunit ribosomal RNA", at positions 524 to 776 of the family's 1533-position model. The record is from RNAcentral.
UACGGGGGGGGCAAGCGUUGUUCGGAAUUACUGGGCGUAAAGGGCGCGUAGGCGGCCUGCUAAGUCGGAUGUGAAAUCCCUCGGCUCAACCGAGGAACUGCAUCCGAUACUGGCGGGCUUGAAUCCGGGAGAGGGAUGUGGAAUUCCAGGUGUAGCGGUGAAAUGCGUAGAUAUCAGGAGGAACACCAAUGGCGAAGGCAGCACUCUGGGACGUGACUGACGCUGAGACGCGAAAGCGUGGGGAGCAAACAGG